Molecule: small RNA, 162 nt
Filed under: Vibrio cholerae O1 biovar El Tor str. N16961
Lineage: Bacteria; Pseudomonadati; Pseudomonadota; Gammaproteobacteria; Vibrionales; Vibrionaceae
Source: RNAcentral
CUGAAGGUGCGAUUAUCCUCGACCCGAAUAGUAACAAUUUGAUGCCUGAGCAGGAGCCACUGCCCGUAGCACAACUGGUGGAUGCUGAGGGUAACGUCCAGCCGAUCACCGACGAUAUAGAGCAGAUUUUAGCCGCAUUAGAAGAAGGCGCAGACCCGACUG